UUGGUCGAUCCUGAAGCAUGCCACCGCCACCACCGCGUAGCCCUCUGCCUCCCAAUAUCUUGCUCCUCCGCCAACAUCCGUGAUCGCCGCCGCCGCCUCCAUUGCAGACCUCCAGGUCAUCAUGGGACCACGCCGCCCCCACCUGCGCGGAAUCUGAGGGCAUGGCGCUAGGAACCCAAGCUGCAGGGCGGGCAGCGAGGAGCGACGCAAUAAGGCCCUGCCAGCCGUGAUAUACGCCCGGAACGGGCGGGCGCACGGAGAGGGGCCGCGGUGCGCCCGAGGGUCGCCGAGGCCUCCGCGCCCGUGGCCGCGGUCGAGGGCCACGGUAGGCAGGAGCCCCCAUCGCGUCCACUGUCGAGAUCCCCAUCACGUGCUGCCAGGUCGCCCGAGGGGCCACAAGGACACGGGAAGUCGACCCCGUGCUCGGUUCCCUCCGCCGCUACAGCCUAUCAUCUUGGCCUAAUUCUGGCGCCCUCCUCGUUUCCGUUUACCCGCUGUCACGCCCUACUCCUACACCCACGCUGUAGUUCCUCUGUGCUUGGCGCUGCAAACUCCCCGCUCAGCGGUCACGAGAUCUCAUUGGAAACAAUUAUACAGGAUAAUAUCUAUGGAGUGGCUUACUCAACCAAGUAUCAUGGUUUUUGGUGAAAAUAUUAAGGGCACGAAGAAAUAAUAUUGAAGUGUUGUAGGUUGAAAAUAUAAUUGACGAAAAACAUACAGGGAAAAAGGUCUUGCUAGAAAUUGUUUAUGAUGUUGAAUUCUCUCCCCUUGUAAUUAUUAGCUUCUAGCCUUAUAUUUGAUGACUCACCUGAUCACUAUAAUUGAUCAUUUCAACUACGACACAGGUAAUUUUCGACACUCCCUUUUUACCUCUGAACAAGUUUAAUAAUUACUUCGAUAUUUAGAAUAUGCUCCUUAUGUCUGUUAUCAUUUCUUAAAACGACACAUAUAUAAGACCCAACUAUUUGAUUGUUGUUUUGUUUAAUCAGAAUCAUUGGGGAAGAUUCGAUAGCAUGCUUCUUAUUUCGGUUGACCAUUUUCUAAAGUUGUUGAGCGACAUUGUGUUCAUAUAUAAUGUACCAGAUUAUUAGUACUAGACGUCUAGACAUUCUACCUUCAAUAUUUUUUGGAACAAAGCUUCAUCUUCUUUGGUUCCGUUUCAUGACAUAAAAGAAUUCACCAAACGCAUUUUUUCUGGAGUUUUUGUCGAGUAUUGUAUAACUGAUGUUGCCCAGCCUAUUCUUCUAUGUUAAUAGCUAUCCAGUUAUAUCUAUUCUUUCAUUUGCACUUCGUGAAAGAUGUGUGGCCUACAAUAUUGUGAGUGUUACCUCUCCUUCAAGCUAACUUUUUUUUUCAGAAAGUCUCCUUCAAGAUAUAUAGCCAUCAAUAUUUUACUACACCUUCCGUAGAGAAAGAAAGAUAGGGAUUGGACUGAUUCUUGUUACUUUUGUCAGAGAGAUAUGGGAGUAUGGGACACACAUGGAGAGAUGGAACAGCCGGGGGGCUAGGGUGCCGCUUCUUGAUCUGCAUAAGCUAAAUUUGCUGCCGAAGUUACUCUGGUAUCUAACUGACAUGUAAAGGAGUCAUGAACAGUUCAACCCAUACAAUGAGCAUUUAUUCCCAAUUAUUUGAGAAAGACUGUGGAGAUUGAUAUCAAGUACGGAGCAUGAAGGUUUCAUGGCAUGAAUAAAGUCAAUUACAACAGAUUAUAACCCAGGAACACAGGAAACCCCUGGACUUUCCAAAACCAGGCAAAGCACCCCUUGUCGUUGAUUAUGGUGGUUUUCGCGAGCGGUUUUGCCUACGUGGCAAGUUUGCGGUAAGGAAAUUGGAUUUUGAUUGCCACGCUGGACCCUCCCGAUCUUAGCGUCGAACAGAGCCUGGGGGUAGGGGACGUCACGGCGGCUGGUUGACGAGUAGAUAUGACACCACCCAAUUACCUAUCUGUUCAGUUUCAUUUCCGAGGUGAAUUGCAUCAUGAUGGAAGUGAAUGGAAGGUCAGGAAUUUCCGCAAUUGAGUGUGACAAAUGUGACUUCAACAGUUGGAGAAACACCUUGCAGAUCAUGUUUCCUAUUCUGACGAAGUACUAAAUGGGACAACUUUGUACUAGAAGUUUCCUUUAAAGGGCAUAUGUGCUCUUGUUGUUAUGAAUGAUGAAGAAUCGAAACAAGAGUAGCUACAAGGAGAAAGGCCAAUCAAGCAAGAACAGAACAAGUUCCUGUUCCAUCAACACGACAAAGUUCAGCUCCUGGUCCAUCAACAAAGCAAGCACCUACAACAUCUAAGCCACCAAAUAGGAAGAAGAUGGCCUCAGCUUGUCAAAAUAAUACUUCCGCUACACCUUUCUAUGAGAGAGCAAAGAACAGAAGGAAAGCACAUACACAAUCAUCUCAACCUCCUUCCGUGGCAUCUUCUUAUCAAUUAGCUUCAGGGUCGAUAUCUCAGCCAAUGCCAAACCAGUCAGGAUUCUCAUGGUUGUUAUAUGGCAAUAAAUGAACUUGUAGGUACUUACAGUGAAACAGAACUGAAGUUGUAGUUCAUGGUUGAUUGUUUUGCAUGCUCUGGUUCAUGCUUUAUUAUUAUGUAAAACUACUACGGGUAGCACUUGUUCCCUAUUAUGUGACACAUGCACUGUUCGAUGAUGUGGGUGUGAUAUGGGCAUGACUGGUUCUUAUGUGA
Long non-coding RNA from Triticum dicoccoides, 2680 nucleotides. RefSeq lists it as uncharacterized. The record is from RefSeq and is a predicted model, not a curated record. NCBI's taxonomy places the organism in Eukaryota, Viridiplantae, Streptophyta, Magnoliopsida, Poales, Poaceae. The transcript is spliced from 8 exons.